Long non-coding RNA from Chinchilla lanigera (long-tailed chinchilla), 1939 nucleotides. NCBI's taxonomy places the organism in Eukaryota, Metazoa, Chordata, Mammalia, Rodentia, Chinchillidae. The record is from Ensembl.
GUCCGCUUCCUUGGGCCUCAGCACUGCUUCCUUCUAUCUGCAGACACUGGAGAAAGUAGAGCCAGCAAGGAUGAAUCCAAAGCAAAAGCAACUCCAUGAUGCCCAGAAAGUGAAAGGGGCUCAACAAACCUGCCUUGUGUGGAUGAACUGGAGCAGGAACCUCUGUUUCCAGAUGAGAGAGUUUAUUUUGAGAAAGUCUGGGCCAUUCAACUGCCAGCAGACCGGCAACCUACUCAGAAUCCCAGUUAGCCAAAAGAGAGCUGUUUCUGAGAAUUCCUUUCUCUCUCAGAAGACAAGAAGCACUACCAUCCUGGAUGAUCCUUCUCAUAUUACCAGCAUCCCACUUGUUCUCUAGAGGCACAGGCAGGCCUGCUUCUUUGCUCCCUGACUUGGGGUUAAAGGGUCUGUCAUUCCAAAAAACACAGAAGUUACAAGGUGUGUGGAUUUAUACCUCAUGCCUUCAGCCUGGAGGUCAGAGGACUCCAAGUACUGUACUGAGAGAUUAAACAGAUAUUCUCUUCAAGAUAACCAUGGGUAGCAUUUGCUCUAAAGAGAAAUGAUGCUGGCUUACAAGUUUUGUGGAAGCACUGGAGGAGUAUGAAACAUUUGGGUGACUGAAGCAGAAAGAGUUAUAGUUAUGGAUCGAACCAUCCUUCCUAAUUGCAGAACAGUUUCCUCCUGGGCAGGAGACUCAGGUAAAUCCAUUAUAAGAAGGUAGGGUGCAUCCUAGGGACGUUUUACAAGUUUAAUUACCAGCAAGUUUAAUAGAGAGCUCUCACCCAGUGCCCUGACAAGUGAUAAAGUAACUGGUCCAGUAUCAGUCACAUUCUAUUUUCUGUAGGAUUGGGCAGUUUGAUUGCCAACAAGUGAGAACCGCCAAGAAACUGGCUCCUUUCCCUGGCUGAGGGAUCUAAGGCAGGGUAAACAUUUGCACAACUACAAAAGCACAGCCCUGAAAUUUUUUUGUGGAAAGUUAUUCUGGAGAGUGGACAGGAGUAUGUUCUUUGGCAUAAGUAACGUUUUGCUGGAAGCAUUGUUUAUCCUGCACGGGUCCCAUGCAGCCUUGGUAGGACUGGGAGUAAGGAACAGAAUGCUAAAAUCUGUGUAGCUGAGGUUUAACUAGAGGUGUCAUGGAGUACAACUCUGAUAUCUCCGGGCUCAAAAAACUAAACUGAGAUCAUUCUCAUUUAUGUCCAGUCUGGGUCCCAAAAAUCUCCCUAGCAGGUUGGAUGGGAUGAGAACCAGGAGAAGCCAGAAUAUUCGUUCCAUAUCAAUAUGUCCCUUAACUCUUAGACAGCUCCAGGCGAAUACAGGGGGUUGGGAUGGACCAUUUUUAUUGGUCCAAAGUCCACAUUAACUAAUGCUUAUUGGAUGGUGAAUUAUAACAGAAACUGUUAAUGUGUGGGAGAGCCACAUGAAUAUCAAACAAAUUCAUUAUGAUUGGUGCUAUUACAGUGAAUACCAAAUGAGUUCAUAAUGAUGGAACAAUGAAAGUGUUACCGAUAGAUUUUAUUUCUGUAACAAAUCCUCCAUGUAAAAGCCCCUCCUGUAGUGUUAAUUCUAAUAUAAGUUUGCAUUUGAAUAUUAGCCUCAUCAAGUAAAUUAUGUCUUUCAAUAGCGCACAUCACAAUGCCCAGGGUUGUGUUUUGUGUUGUUUGGCUCUCUGGACACUAGAAUAAGCCCCCUCACCCCACAGUUUCCAAUCUGCCCAUGGAGUUUGAUGACUAUUCCGAAGGGGUCGGUCACAUUUUCCUUUGAGUGGCCAAUCAUUAGAAAUCCAUUUAGUAUUCAAUGUAAUAGCACUAAUGCAAUAGGACAGGAUGAGUAUGAAAUUCAUCUUGCAUUCAUGUGGCUGUGGUAUGUACUUCUGAAAGAGUUCCGCUCUAUUUCAGCAUGAGUGUAGACCCAGUUAAUGGAUCCUUUAAAAAUAAAACACAAC